This 468-nucleotide ribosomal RNA is filed under the name uncultured bacterium. Its description in RNAcentral is "partial 16S ribosomal RNA". It matches the Rfam family "Bacterial small subunit ribosomal RNA", at positions 28 to 507 of the family's 1533-position model. The record is from RNAcentral.
GACGAACGCUGGCGGCGCGCCUAACACAUGCAAGUCGAACGGAGCUGAGAGAAGCUUGCUUUUCUUAGCUUAGUGGCGAACGGGUGAGUAACGCGUGAGUAACCUGCCCUGGAGUGGGGGACAACAGUUGGAAACGACUGCUAAUACCGCAUAAGCCCACGAUCCGGCAUCGGAUUGAGGGAAAAGGAUUUAUUCGCUUCAGGAUGGAUUCGCGUCCAAUUAGCUAGUUGGUGAGGUAACGGCCCACCAAGGCGACGAUUGGUAGCCGGACUGAGAGGUUGAACGGCCACAUUGGGACUGAGACACGGCCCAGACUCCUACGGGAGGCAGCAGUGGGGGAUAUUGCACAAUGGGGGAAACCCUGAUGCAGCGACGCCGCGUGGAGGAAGAAGGUUUUCGGAUUGUAAACUCCUGUCGUUAGGGACGAUAAUGACGGUACCUAACAAGAAAGCACCGGCUAACUACGUG